This 220-nucleotide ribosomal RNA is filed under the name Naganishia diffluens. RNAcentral describes it as "partial large subunit ribosomal RNA". The record is from RNAcentral. Lineage: Eukaryota; Fungi; Basidiomycota; Tremellomycetes; Filobasidiales; Filobasidiaceae.
AAACGAUUGAAGUCAGUCAUGCUCUUUGGUAUUUAUAUCAUUGAGUGGGGUCAACAUCAGUUUUGAGCGAUGGAUAAAGGCACUAGGAAGGUAGCACUCUCGGGUGAACUUAUAGCCUAGCGUCAUAUACAUUGUUUGGGACUGAGGAACGCAGCAUGCCUUUAUGGCCGGGAUUCGUCCACGUACAUGCUUAGGAUGUUGACAUAAUGGCUUUAAACGA